GUCUUUUUGAAAUAAUUUAAAGUCUAAUCUGCCCACUGAUAAAAAAUUAAAGGGCUGCAGUAUAAUGACUGUACAAAGGUAGCAUAAUCAAUAGUUUUUUAAUUGAAAACUUGUAUGAAAGAUUUGAUGAAAUAUGGACUGUCUCUAAUUUAUAGAUUGAAUUUUAUUUUUUAGUAAAAAAGCUAAAAUAAAUUUAAAAGACGAGAAGACCCUAUAGAGUUUUAUAUUUAAUUUUAUUUUAAAAUUAUAUAAAAAUUAAUAUUAAAAAUAAAAUUAAAUAUUAUAUUGGGGUGAUAGAAAAAUUAAAUUAACUUUUUUUGAAAAUUAAACAUAAAUAAAUGAUUAUAUGAUCCAUAAAUAAUGAUUAUAAGAAAAAAUUACCUUAGGGAUAACAGCGUAAUAUUUUUUUUUAGUUCAAAUAAAAAAAAAAGUUUGCGACCUCGAUGUUGGAUUAAGAUAAAAUUUAAAUGCAAAAGUUUAAAAAUUUUGAUCUGUUCGAUCAUUAAAAUCUUACA
RNAcentral lists this ribosomal RNA (515 nucleotides) under Melanargia ines. RNAcentral describes it as "partial 16S ribosomal RNA". The record is from RNAcentral. Lineage: Eukaryota; Metazoa; Arthropoda; Insecta; Lepidoptera; Nymphalidae.